Molecule: ribosomal RNA, 270 nt
Filed under: uncultured archaeon
Lineage: Archaea
Description: partial 16S ribosomal RNA
Rfam family: Bacterial small subunit ribosomal RNA
Source: RNAcentral
CGAGGGUGCAAGCGUUAAUCGGAGUUACUGGGCGUAAAGGGCGUGUAGGCUGAUAUUUAAGUUGGUUGUGAAAUCCCCGGGCUUAACCUGGGAAUUGCAGUCGAUACUGGAUGUCUAGAGUAUGGUAGAGGAAAGUGGAAUUCUCGGCGUAGUGGUUAAAUACGUAGAUAUCGAGAAGAACAUCGGUGGCGAAGGCGGCUUUCUGGCCCAAUACUGACGCUGAGGCGCGAAAGCGUGGGGAGCAAACAGGAUUAGAUACCCGAGUAGUCC